UCAGGAUGAACGCUGGCGGCGUGCCUAAUACAUGCAAGUCGAGCGAACGGACGAGAAGCUUGCUUCUCUGAUGUUAGCGGCGGACGGGUGAGUAACACGUGGAUAACCUACCUAUAAGACUGGGAUAACUUCGGGAAACCGGAGCUAAUACCGGAUAAUAUUUUGAACCGCAUGGUUCAAAAGUGAAAGACGGUCUUGCUGUCACUUAUAGAUGGAUCCGCGCUGCAUUAGCUAGUUGGUAAGGUAACGGCUUACCAAGGCAACGAUGCAUAGCCGACCUGAGAGGGUGAUCGGCCACACUGGAACUGAGACACGGUCCAGACUCCUACGGGAGGCAGCAGUAGGGAAUCUUCCGCAAUGGGCGAAAGCCUGACGGAGCAACGCCGCGUGAGUGAUGAAGGUCUUCGGAUCGUAAAACUCUGUUAUUAGGGAAGAACAUAUGUGUAAGUAACUGUGCACAUCUUGACGGUACCUAAUCAGAAAGCCACGGCUAACUACGU
Molecule: ribosomal RNA, 500 nt
Filed under: Staphylococcus aureus
Lineage: Bacteria; Bacillati; Bacillota; Bacilli; Caryophanales; Staphylococcaceae
Description: bacterial SSU rRNA
Rfam family: Bacterial small subunit ribosomal RNA
Source: RNAcentral